RNAcentral lists this unclassified non-coding RNA (195 nucleotides) under uncultured fungus. RNAcentral describes it as "partial contains 18S rRNA, ITS1 and 5.8S rRNA". The record is from RNAcentral. Lineage: Eukaryota; Fungi.
AGGUGAACCUGCGGAAGGAUCAUUACCUAGAGUUGUAGGCUUUGCCUGCUAUCUCUUACCCAUGUCUUUACAGUACCUUCGUUUCCUCGGCGGGUUCGCCCGCCGAUUGGACAAAUUUAAACCCUUUGCAGUUGCAAUCAGCGUCUGAAAAAACAUAAUAGUUACAACUUUCAACAACGGAUCUCUUGGUUCUGG